UAAACCUGAGAAACCCAAAAGAUCGAAUGGGGAGAUUNAUCGCCAGCGGCUUUGCUUCCGUGUGGUUUCGCGAUGUCGCGGGAUUUCGGUUCCGUGGCACGCUGCCACUGCGGCAUGUCAGGCGUCGUCGGUGUGCACUUCUCCCCUAGUAGGACGUCGCGACCCGUUGGGUGUAGGCCUACGGCCCGUACGGUCGACUGUCGCGUCGCGUUCACGCGCGCUCACGUGGCAGACCUACGGUGUUCCCGGCCUACUGCCCGGCGGUAUGGAACGCUUCAAUUGGUAUCGAGCCGACAUUGCGUGCGUUCUGGCUCCUCGGCAGGCUCGUCCCGCUCGGAUUUACGGACCUAGCGCCGUUGCCGGGUGCUCGAUGUGGCCGUUAAGCCGAGGAUGUCCUCGAACGGGCUCUCUCGA
Molecule: ribosomal RNA, 414 nt
Filed under: Eurytoma rosae
Lineage: Eukaryota; Metazoa; Arthropoda; Insecta; Hymenoptera; Eurytomidae
Description: eukaryotic LSU rRNA
Source: RNAcentral